CCGCCCAACUCUGGCGAGAAAUUGCUGGAGCUGCGCUGCCCCGUUCGCCGAGCCGCCACCGCCCUAGUGAUCCUUGCGACGCCAUGAAGCUCCCUCAACUCUUCAUUUUGUUCCCCGAGUCCCUAUUCGUCAAAUCGUUCAUCUCAAGUGAGAUUUGGGUAUGAACUUGUUCAAGUUCUCUGAAAUUUAGGCUUUUCGGUUAGCUCUGUUCAAGCGUCGAUUGUUAGCAGAACAUUGAUCAUUUUGUGCUCGAGUUUUCACCAUUUUGUAGAGAGAAUGCUUCUCUAUAAUUUAUCUGUAGACAGUAGCCGUAGACAUUUCAUCUCGGGCAUUGCAUCGUCGUCGCAAAAUGGUAUUCUAAUCAGUUUCUCUGCCGUAUCUCUGCCGCGGCAGAAAGUUGCAGCACCUUCCUCAGUGGGUAGCCUUAUUCGCAGUAGUUCUCGUUGUGGUCCGUAGCAUCAUUUUCGUUGUUUCUUUUUUUAGAUUGAACUUUAGGAACACCCCUUCACAUGCAUUUCCUAGUUGGACCAUUUCAACUCCACCUUCAGUAGCAGCACGACGGUAGAAGUUCAUAUCCUAUUCUGUUCUGUUUUAGAGUAGCCACUGUUACCUGUUCAUAGCUACUGCCUCAUAGCUCCAUAGUUAGUGAAACCAGUCCCAUUUGAAAGAGUAGAUCAUAUUCUUAGAUUUCUUUGUUUACUUCUCUGUCAUUGGAAUAGUUUAGCACCAGUAGCUUUUCAGUAGAAGUUAGUAUUCUUUGUCUGUCAGAAUCUGACUAGCCACCUUUGCAAGCCAGUAACUUUUGACCUGUUUAUCCAAUUGACCUGAAACCUGUUGCGUUAGUUAGUACAACUCCAGAACUAUACUCUAGCAUAGGUUUUAUGCCAUGUUCUGUACUUUAGCACCUAUUACCUGUCAAUCCUAGUUGCUA
This 931-nucleotide long non-coding RNA is filed under the name Brachypodium distachyon (stiff brome). RNAcentral describes it as "long non-coding RNA (BDIS_LNC003293)". Lineage: Eukaryota; Viridiplantae; Streptophyta; Magnoliopsida; Poales; Poaceae. The record is from RNAcentral.